RNAcentral lists this ribosomal RNA (497 nucleotides) under uncultured bacterium. RNAcentral's name for it is "partial 16S ribosomal RNA". It matches the Rfam family "Bacterial small subunit ribosomal RNA", at positions 28 to 507 of the family's 1533-position model. The record is from RNAcentral.
GAUGAACGCUGGCGGCGUGCCUAAUACAUGCAAGUCGAGCGAACAGACGAGGAGCUUGCUCCUCUGACGUUAGCGGCGGAAGGGUGAGUAACACGUGGAUAACCUACCUAUAAGACUGGGAUAACUUCGGGAAACCGGAGCUAAUACCGGAUAGUAUAUUGAACCGCAUGGUUCAAUAGUGAAAGACGGUUUUGCUGUCACUUAUAGAUGGAUCCGCGCCGCAUUAGCUAGUUGGUAAGGUAACGGCUUACCAAGGCAACGAUGCGUAGCCGACCUGAGAGGGUGAUCGGCCACACUGGAACUGAGACACGGUCCAGACUCCUACGGGAGGCAGCAGUAGGGAAUCUUCCGCAAUGGGCGAAAGCCUGACGGAGCAACGCCGCGUGAAUGAUGAAGGUCUUCGGAUCGUAAAACUCUGUUAUUAGGGAAGAACAAAUGUGUAAGUAACUAUGCACGUCUUGACGGUACCUAAUCAGAAAGCCACGGCUAACUACGUG